This 321-nucleotide unclassified non-coding RNA is filed under the name Basidiomycota sp. Its description in RNAcentral is "partial contains 5.8S ribosomal RNA, internal transcribed spacer 2, and large subunit ribosomal RNA". The record is from RNAcentral. Lineage: Eukaryota; Fungi; Basidiomycota.
CGCAUCUUGCGCCCUUUGGUAUUCCGAAGGGCAUGUCUGUUUGAGUGUCGUGAAACUCUCAACCCCCUUGUUUUGUAAUGAAACAAGUGCUUGGGUUGGAUGUGGUUGCUGCAGGUCCCGAAAGGGGUCGGCUCAGCUGAAAUACAUUAGCGUACCCUGCUUUUAAAUCGCAGCGGCUUGACUCGGCGUAAUAAUCAUAUUCGCUGGGGACGUUGCAUUAGUAUUUAAACCGUGGGCGCUCACAAUGCGUCUCAACCUUUUGGUUAAGACAACCUUUCAAUUUAAGACCUCAGAUCAGUCAGGGCUACCCGCUGAACUUAA